Molecule: long non-coding RNA, 459 nt
Organism: Alligator sinensis (Chinese alligator)
Lineage: Eukaryota; Metazoa; Chordata; Crocodylia; Alligatoridae
Exons: 3
Source: RefSeq, a predicted model, not a curated record
GCCAAAGUCUGGCUCAGCCCACGAGCGCGCGCUGCGGCUAUUCUGGGAGCGGGGCGGGGCCCGGGUGCGCAAGGGGGAAGCUAAUCUGCAAAGACCAGGAUAUAUGCUACCUAGAAUGUUUAGACUUCAGAUAAAGCACUCAAAAAUCAGGCACUGAAACAGCUAACAGGUUGCUUGUGUAACCUGGCUUCACUCUGCUCUGAUAUUUGCUCUGAUAUUUGCAUAUUUUGUAUAUGCAUUAUUGUCCAGGCAGGAGUUACAUGACAACUCACAGUUAUUUCUACAGGUCACUGGUGUUCUUCAGUGGUCAGGUUGGACAGAGAUCUAGCUGGAUUCUGUCCCUGCCCUCCAGUGUGCCUACCCCACCCCACAUCAUAGUGUCAUCAACAAAUACGGACAGCAUGCAUUCCACACCCAUAUCCAGAUCGCUGAUAAAGAUGCUGAAUAGUACAGGGCCCA